AGGGAAGUAGCUCAGUGGCAGAACGUGUGCUUAGUAUGCAUGAGGUCCUGAGUUCAAUUCCCAGCACCUCCA
Camelus ferus (Wild Bactrian camel) is the source of this 72-nucleotide transfer RNA. It matches the Rfam family "tRNA". From Rfam's summary of the family: Transfer RNA (tRNA) molecules are approximately 80 nucleotides in length. Their secondary structure includes four short double-helical elements and three loops (D, anti-codon, and T loops). Further hydrogen bonds mediate the characteristic L-shaped molecular structure. tRNAs have two regions of fundamental functional importance: the anti-codon, which is responsible for specific mRNA codon recognition, and the 3' end, to which the tRNAs corresponding amino acid is attached (by aminoacyl-tRNA synthetases). tRNAs cope with the degeneracy of the genetic code in two manners: having more than one tRNA (with a specific anti-codon) for a particular amino acid; and 'wobble' base-pairing, i.e. permitting non-standard base-pairing at the 3rd anti-codon position. The record is from Rfam. NCBI's taxonomy places the organism in Eukaryota, Metazoa, Chordata, Mammalia, Artiodactyla, Camelidae.